UACGAAGGGAGCUAGCGUUGUUCGGAAUCACUGGGCGUAAAGCGCACGUAGGCGGAUGUGUCAGUCAGGGGUGAAAUCCCGGAGCUCAACUUCGGAACUGCCUUUGAUACAGCACAUCUGGAGUCCGGAAGAGGGGGGUGGAAUUCCAGGUGUAGCAGUGAGAUGCGUAGAUAUCUGGAGGAACACCGAUGGCGAAGGCAGCCCCCUGGGCUAACACUGACGCUGAGGCGCGAAAGCUAGGGGAGCAAACAGG
RNAcentral lists this ribosomal RNA (253 nucleotides) under uncultured bacterium. Its description in RNAcentral is "partial 16S ribosomal RNA". It matches the Rfam family "Bacterial small subunit ribosomal RNA", at positions 524 to 776 of the family's 1533-position model. The record is from RNAcentral.